AUACUUACCUGGCGGGGAGAUACCAUGAUCAUGAAGGUGGUUUUCCCAGGGCGAGGCUUAUCCAUUGCACUCCGGAUGUGCUGACCCCUGCGAUUUCCCCAAAUGUGGGAAACUCGACUGCAUAAUUUGUGGUAGUGGGGGACUGCGUUCGCGCUUUCCCCUG
RNAcentral lists this small nuclear RNA (163 nucleotides) under Papio anubis (olive baboon). Its description in RNAcentral is "U1 spliceosomal RNA (ENSPANG00000031779.2)". It matches the Rfam family "U1 spliceosomal RNA". From Rfam's summary of the family: U1 is a small nuclear RNA (snRNA) component of the spliceosome (involved in pre-mRNA splicing). Its 5' end forms complementary base pairs with the 5' splice junction, thus defining the 5' donor site of an intron. There are significant differences in sequence and secondary structure between metazoan and yeast U1 snRNAs, the latter being much longer (568 nucleotides as compared to 164 nucleotides in human). The record is from Rfam by way of RNAcentral. Lineage: Eukaryota; Metazoa; Chordata; Mammalia; Primates; Cercopithecidae.